RNAcentral lists this ribosomal RNA (261 nucleotides) under Ganoderma lucidum. Its description in RNAcentral is "25S ribosomal RNA (divergent domain D2)". Lineage: Eukaryota; Fungi; Basidiomycota; Agaricomycetes; Polyporales; Polyporaceae. The record is from RNAcentral.
AAACAGUACGUGAAAUUGCUGAAAGGGAAACGCUUGAAGUCAGUCGCGUUGUCCGGAACUCAGCCUUGCUUUUGCUUGGUGCACUUUCCGGAUGACGGGUCAGCAUCGAUUUUGACCGUCGGAAAAGGGCUGGAGUAAUGUGGCACCUCCGGGUGUGUUAUAGACUCUGGUCGCAUACGACGGUUGGGAUCGAGGAACGCAGCGCGCCGCAAGGCAGGGGUUCGCCCACUUUCGCGCUUAGGAUGCUGGCAUAAUGGCUUU